GGGGGUGACAGGUUUCGACACCGGUUGCCGCAACAAGAGAAGCGAGCCGAGAAUCGGUGGUCAUCUCGUUAACGAUCCGCCGAAAACAACAAGUGCCGAUAACAAGCGCACUGACUUCGCUCUCGCCGCCUAGGCAGAGCUCAACAUGAAGUCCGUCAGACCGGGGCUGUUCUCGACCCGGACCCUGGCGUCGUCUAGGGAACUUGCCGACACCUCCCGCUCACGGGGGGACUAGGGACACCAAUCAGUGAGGUAGGCCGCGUUCCCCGUUGGGCCACACGAAUCGGGGAGGCCGAAUCGCAAUAGCGUGGCUGCGCUCGGAGAAGUCUUGAAGCUGUGCCGAUGGACGCGGGUUCGAUUCCCGCCACCUCCACCA
This 376-nucleotide transfer-messenger RNA is filed under the name Actinomycetes bacterium. RNAcentral describes it as "Actinobacteria bacterium (activated sludge metagenome) transfer-messenger RNA". It matches the Rfam family "transfer-messenger RNA". Rfam says of the family: Bacterial tmRNA, also known as 10Sa RNA or SsrA, is named for its dual tRNA and mRNA-like properties. Its role is to liberate the mRNA from a stalled ribosome. The record is from RNAcentral. Lineage: Bacteria; Bacillati; Actinomycetota; Actinomycetes. RNAcentral also lists the same sequence under 2 other names.